Molecule: ribosomal RNA, 274 nt
Filed under: uncultured bacterium
Lineage: Bacteria
Description: partial 16S ribosomal RNA
Rfam family: Bacterial small subunit ribosomal RNA
Source: RNAcentral
AUACGGAGGGUGCAAGCGUUACUCGGAAUCACUGGGCGUAGAGGAUGCGUAGGCGGAUAAUCAAGUCAAAAGUGAAAUCCCACGGCUUAACCGUGGAACUGCUUUCGAAACUGGUUAUCUUGAAUAUGGAAGAGGCAGAUGGAAUUAGUGGUGUAGGGGUAAAAUCCGUAGAGAUCACUAGGAAUACCGAUUGCGAAGGCGAUCUGCUGGGACAUUAUUGACGCUGAGGCAUGAAAGCGUGGGGAGCAAACAGGAUUAGAAACCCGGGUAGUCC